RNAcentral lists this unclassified non-coding RNA (263 nucleotides) under plant metagenome. RNAcentral's name for it is "partial contains small subunit ribosomal RNA, internal transcribed spacer 1, and 5.8S ribosomal RNA". The record is from RNAcentral.
UUUCCGUCGGUGAACCUGCGGAAGGAUCAUUAUUGUAUAGCCGAGGUGCGAGGGCUGUCGCUGACCCGAAAGGUCGUGCACGCCCGAGUGCCCUCACACACAUCCAUCUCACCCCUAUGUGCACCACCGCGUGGGUCCCCCUUUGGCUUGUUCGGAGGGGGGCUUACGUUUUCACACAAACUUUGUAUGCAGUGUAGAAUGUAUUUUUUGUUUUUGCGAUCACGCAAUCAAUACAACUUUCAACAACGGAUCUCUUGGCUCUC